This 423-nucleotide ribosomal RNA is filed under the name uncultured archaeon. RNAcentral's name for it is "partial 16S ribosomal RNA". It matches the Rfam family "Archaeal small subunit ribosomal RNA", at positions 323 to 746 of the family's 1478-position model. The record is from RNAcentral.
CUACGGGCCGCUGCAGUUAGGUAUAAUCUACAAUGCGCGCAAGCGUGAUAGUUUGAGCCAGCGUGCGUUUCUAAUGAAAUGCUUUUGUGAAAUGUAAAAAGUUUCACGAAUAAGGACUGGGUAAGACAAGUGCCAGCCGCCGCGGUAAUACUUGCGGUCCAAGUCGCAGCCAUUUUUAUUGGGUCUAAAACAUCCGUAGCUUGUUUGAUAAGUUUCUUGUGGAAAUAUUAUGUCUUAAACAUGAUGCGUGCAAGAAGUACUGUCAAGCUAGAGACAGGGAGACGGAAGGAGUACGUUCAGAGUAGCGGUUAAAUGUUUUAAUCCUGGACGGACUAACAAUUAGCGAAGGCACCUUUCGAGACCUGUUCUGACAGUCAGGGACGAAGGCGAGGGGCGCAAAAGGGAUUAGAUACCCCCGUAGUC